Molecule: long non-coding RNA, 873 nt
Organism: Tachysurus fulvidraco (yellow catfish)
Lineage: Eukaryota; Metazoa; Chordata; Actinopteri; Siluriformes; Bagridae
Exons: 5
Source: RefSeq, a predicted model, not a curated record
GUUCCAGAUAAAAGGACUGCCUGGAUCCCUGAUUGAGGCCUCUUUACCUUUUUGUGUCAUCGUGAUUGCUUUGUUUGUGUUGUGCUUUAACAUUGCACAUUCGUAUGCUCUAUUCUCUAACCGUUAAUCCAUUUCAUGUAUCGUUGAUUGUCUCGUCUGAGAAAGUUUGUAAAUUUGUGUUCAGAGUGUGUUGAGCCUGUGCGUUUUGUUUUGUUCUGUUUAUUCUUUCAACUGAUAGAUUUGUUUGUGCUGUACCCAUGCCUGAUACUGAGAGGGAGUUAGCAAGAUGAUGGGUCUCUAUCCAACUGUCUAGGUCCAGCCUUUGGAUAUUUCUGGGUUCGGGGAGGCUGUGGCCACUCUGGCCCUGCGUGUGGCCAACCUGGCAGUAUUUGAUCCAGAUUUAUCGGACCUGGCUCAGCUGGUAAUGAGCCGGGCACACACCACAAUUUCGAUGAUGCGACAGUAUGACCCCAUGUGGACCCAUGAGGUGCCUGAAAUGAGUGGGGUCCAGAGGGACCACGGGAACAGCGAAAUUAGGUGGUUGUUACGAAGUUCGGAGCAGCUGGUCGAGCGGAUGGCGGAACCGUCUGCACUGAGGUAAAGUUUUAUAUUAACACUUCCGGGUUCAAAAACUUUCUAAUUUAGUAGUAGUGUGAACGAGUAGUGUGAACACUCAAAUCUGGCCCAGAUCUGUUUUUUUUUUUUUUUUUUUAAAUCCGAUCUGAGCCACUUCCAUAUGUGGUCCUGAAUCAGACCCAAAUCUGAUUUUUUUUCCAAUGUGGCCGCAGUGUGAACAGCCAAGGCGGAUUUGAUGCAACUUUUACAUCGACAUUCAUCACAAUUAUGCGCUGGGCAAAGACUUUUUUUUUUUUU